This 476-nucleotide ribosomal RNA is filed under the name uncultured anaerobic ammonium-oxidizing bacterium. RNAcentral describes it as "bacterial SSU rRNA". It matches the Rfam family "Bacterial small subunit ribosomal RNA", at positions 365 to 831 of the family's 1533-position model. The record is from RNAcentral.
UUCGCAAUGCCCGAAAGGGUGACGAAGCGACGCCGCGUGUGGGAAGAAGGCCUUCGGGUUGUAAACCCCUGUCAGGAGUUAGGAAGGUGCAGGGUGUAAAUAGCGUCCUGCAUUGACGAAGGCUUCAGAGGAAGUCAUGGCUAACUCUGUGCCAGCAGCCGCGGUAAUACAGAGAUGGCAAGCGUUGUUCGGAAUUAUUGGGCGUAAAGAGCACGUAGGCGGCUCUGCAAGUCAGCUGUGAAAGCCUUCUGCUUAACGGAAGAACAGCAGUUGAAACUACAGGGCUUGAGUGCGGGAGGGAAGAGUGGAACUUCUGGUGGAGCGGUGAAAUGCGUAGAUAUCAGAAGGAACGCCGGCGGCGAAAGCGGCUCUCUGGUCCGCAACUGACGCUGAGUGUGCGAAAGCUAGGGGAGCAAACGGGAUUAGAUACCCCGGUAGUCCUAGCCGUAAACGAUGGGCACUAAGUAGAGGGGUUU